This 492-nucleotide ribosomal RNA is filed under the name uncultured bacterium. RNAcentral describes it as "partial 16S ribosomal RNA". It matches the Rfam family "Bacterial small subunit ribosomal RNA", at positions 29 to 507 of the family's 1533-position model. The record is from RNAcentral.
AGUGAACGCUGGCGGUAGGCCUAACACAUGCAAGCCGAACGGCAGCACAGUAAGCGUUCGCUCUUACGGUUGGCGAGUGGCGGGCGGGUGACGCAUACAUCGCAUUCUACUAUUUCUGGGGGGAUAACGUAGGGCCACUUAUGCUACCACCGCAUAUGUCGUACGGGUGAAAGCAGGGGAUCAUCGGGCCCUGCGUGUCAGAUUGAGCCGACGUCGGAUUAGCUAGUUGACGUGGUAAGGGCACACCAAGGCGACGAUACGUAGCAGGGCUGAGAGGAUGAUCGGCCACACUGGAACUGAGACACGGUCCAGACUCCUACGGGAGGCAGCAGUAGGGAAUCUUGCGCAAUGGGCGCAAGCCUGACGCAGCCAUGCCGCGUGAGUGAUGAAGGCCUUCGGGUCGUAAAGCUCUUUUAUUAGGGAAGAACAGAAGCAGAAUAAUCUGCCGAUAUUCUGACGGUACCUAAUGAAUAAGCCCCGGCUAACUUCGUG